UACUUAUUCAUUUUUUAUUUUUUUUUAAAUGAGCUUUUUUAGUUUGGAAGUAUUGUUUUGUUUUUGACCAAUUUAGGAUGUUUGUUUUGUCUGCCUGUCUAUAUCUGUCUAUAAGUACAAAGCCAACUGGAUGGCCUUGAGCCAGUCACUCUCCCUCAGCCUUAGGAAGCAGGCAAUGCCAAACCACUUCUGAAAUCUCGCCAGGAAAACUGUAGAGGCUUGUUAAAGCAGCAAGCAAAGGGUGCUCUUGGAAACUAAAGUCUAAUACAAGAUGCUGGCUCGUGAAUUAAAACAGAAUUUAAAUGCAACAGUUACAAUCCAGCAACCCUUUCUUUCCCACAAAGUUUUUUUUUUAAAUAAAAGAACCAACAAGGCUCAGCAUCCUUGCACUCGACCAUUUUGCAUCCAGAUAAUUUCUUCCUCGAUCCCACUCUGUUGUACGGGAUUUAGCCUCAAACGACCAUGUAGCGCAUCCCAAGGAUGGACAGCUCAUUCCUUGCAAACGGCGUUGUUUUUUAAGCCUGCAAUCCCCAUUACACACAACAGUCUCCCAUGUUAAAAAAAAAAAAGCCUUCGCCUUUAUAUUCCGGUCGGGAAACUCCGGGCUGGCUCUGCAAGCGUCCGGAAAGCCUCACUCGCGAUCUUUCUCACCUGGUGC
Non-coding RNA from Pantherophis guttatus, 658 nucleotides. NCBI's taxonomy places the organism in Eukaryota, Metazoa, Chordata, Lepidosauria, Squamata, Colubridae. The record is from RefSeq and is a predicted model, not a curated record.